UACGUAGGGGGCAAGCGUUGUCCGGAUUUAUUGGGCGUAAAGAGCGUGUAGGCGGCCAGGUAGGUCUGCUGUGAAAACUCGAGGCUUAACCUCGAGCUGUCGGCGGAAACCAUCUGGCUAGAGUCCGGAAGAGGAGAAUGGAAUUCCCGGUGUAGCGGUGAAAUGCGCAGAUAUCGGGAAGAACACCCGUGGCGAAGGCGGUUCUCUGGGACGGUACUAACGCUGAGACGCGAAAGCGUGGGGAGCGAACAGG
RNAcentral lists this ribosomal RNA (253 nucleotides) under uncultured bacterium. RNAcentral's name for it is "partial 16S ribosomal RNA". It matches the Rfam family "Bacterial small subunit ribosomal RNA", at positions 524 to 776 of the family's 1533-position model. The record is from RNAcentral.